This 295-nucleotide long non-coding RNA is filed under the name Mytilus galloprovincialis (Mediterranean mussel). The record is from RNAcentral. Lineage: Eukaryota; Metazoa; Mollusca; Bivalvia; Mytilida; Mytilidae.
AUUAAAUGUCAAAGUCCGCAGCAAAUGGGCAUUUUGAUCAUUUCUGUUUGUUACAAAGCUAAAUCGGAAACCCUGAUGAAGUGUUUAUAAAUAAAAAGAAGAAACUAUAAAGCUACCACAGAGACUGGGAAAAAAUGAAAUAAAUGUAAAUACACAUAGCUAGUUAUUAUGGUAGCACAAAACCAAGACAAUGAACACGAACUUAUCAACAAUUAAGCAACUAACUUUACUGCAUCUGUGUUUAUACCAAUUUUGAUGUACUGUUUGUUCCAAAGGUAAUUAUCAACCCACAGCC